ACAGGCAGAGGCGGCAGCGAGCGCGGAGAGGCCGGGUGGAGAGGCAAGUCGGUCGGGGUGACGGGGUGACGGGGCGUCGCGGCGCCCCGGGCGGGAGAGCCAGGGUCCCCCAGGCACCUGGGCGGGGGAGUGGCUUAUCCGGGAACGGAAGCCGUGAAGGCAGGUGUGAUGGAGGCAAAGAAGAAUACACCUCGGAGCGGCCCAGGACCCGCCGCGCCAGGCGAGGCGCCGGCGAGGAGGCGGCAGCACAAGGGGGUAGUGGUGAAUUGUGUGGAAUUGCUGAUGCUGGAGAUGAAACCAGAAUAUGAGGAUACUCUAAACUGAUUUGUAGCACAGUAAAAAUGGAAGAAUAAGAGCUUCCCCUGCAGCUCACCUCUGCCUCUGUCCACUGGGGAAAACAUCUCCAGGUGCUAAUAAAAAAGAUAACUCUGGCCAUGGUGUGUGAGGUGAAGAGGCAGCUCAGCAAAAUCACUACUGAGAACCUGGGCAGGCUUAGGCAAUGUGACCUGAAGAGCUGAAGUGUGCAGUCCACAGAGAGGAAGAAUUGGGCAGAAUGCAAAAUUGAAGUGGAUGCGCAUAGAGGAAAAUCUUCCUGACAAAGAUUAAUUAGUUAUGAGACUAACUCUCCAAGGGAAGGACGAAGGACCAAGUAGGGAGGACAGUGGUCCCCAAGCCCGCCUCUCUGUCUGCUCCGAGCACCUUACUGGGAAUUCUGCAGUCAAAAUGACCUACUCACAGAGUCCCAAGCAACCCUUCACUCACCAAAGGAAACCAGAGGGGAAACGGACUGCUCAAAACUGAAGUGAAACUUAAACAAAAUACCUGAAAAUUAACCCAUUCUUCAAACAUAGAUAUGAUGAGAAACCAAGGAUCACCAGUUCCUGGAUGAACAAAUGAAUUAGUAAGGAAAAGGAUUGAAGUCUCUGGAACAAACUUCUGCCAGUGGAAUGCCACUCUAGAUGUAAGAAUGGCAAACAUAAGAGACAGGGAAUCGUCUGAGAGGUGCAUAUCAAAAGCACAUAUGUAAGUUCUGGAGGCUUAGCUGAUGGAGAUAUUCACUGCACCCUUGGAGAAAGAUUACCCAUGUUUUGUAGAGACAUAACAUUACUAAGGUUUGAAGGAAGGGGAGGAUUUGCAUAUACCGAUGUUGGCAGUGGGAUCGGAGGAAGAAUUCAGAGAGAAGGUUUCCAAGUUGAGAGCAACAUUAGCAAAACACGAAGCAGUAAACAUGCUGGAUCUGAGGAAACAGCUGAGGUCAAUCUUGUUGUAUCAGAAUGUGUGAAAACAAAGGAGCGGGAAAGGGCUAGAGGGACUGCUGGGGCUAAACCCAAGAGGUUCGCUCACAAAGGUGAUUUUACUCACCUGUUCCCUGUACUUUGCCAAACUAAUGAACUUAUCACCAAAAACCACUCUCAGAGGGAAACUUUGACAAUAAAAAUGAACAGAUGAGAGAGCUUAAAAAACAAAACAUGUCCCUUUCCCCCAAAGACCAGUAAGCCCAGGGAAACUCAAAUUCUGGUUCCAGUUUUCACUCAUUCAUUCAUUCAUUCAAGUGGGGGAGGGGCAGAGGAAGAGGGAGAAAGAAUCUUCAGCAGGUUCCAUGCUCAGCACAGGGCCUGACGCUGGGC
This is a long non-coding RNA of Canis lupus familiaris (dog), 1628 nucleotides long. RefSeq lists it as uncharacterized. The transcript has 6 exons. Lineage: Eukaryota; Metazoa; Chordata; Mammalia; Carnivora; Canidae. The record is from RefSeq and is a predicted model, not a curated record.